AAAAACCCAACAACUUACUAGGAAUCAAGCACUGAUAAACAUCUUAUUGUAAUUAGGAAUAAAUAAUAAAUCCUUUCUCAAGAGAGACACCUGCUGGCUUCUGACCCACCACUGUUCCUUGCACUGCCUGUCUCGUGUUGCAGUGCAUACACAAAAUCACAGAAAAAUUCAAGUUGGAAGAGACCUUUGAAGACCCAGUCCGCCUCUGACUGACUCCCUGCUAAGACAAUGGAAAACUUAGUCAUCUUCCUCAGAUCCCUCUUCAGCUCAGUUUGGAGCGUCUCUGAGGAAGGAUG
Molecule: long non-coding RNA, 296 nt
Filed under: Anser brachyrhynchus (Pink-footed goose)
Lineage: Eukaryota; Metazoa; Chordata; Aves; Anseriformes; Anatidae
Description: lncRNA (ENSABRG00000010148.1)
Source: RNAcentral